This 442-nucleotide ribosomal RNA is filed under the name uncultured Methylophilaceae bacterium. Its description in RNAcentral is "bacterial SSU rRNA". It matches the Rfam family "Bacterial small subunit ribosomal RNA", at positions 940 to 1382 of the family's 1533-position model. Lineage: Bacteria; Pseudomonadati; Pseudomonadota; Betaproteobacteria; Nitrosomonadales; Methylophilaceae. The record is from RNAcentral.
UGUGGAUUAAUUCGAUGCAACGCGAAAACCUUACCCGGCCUUGACAUGUAGCGAACUUUCCAGAGAUGGAUUGGUGCUCGAAAGAGAACGCUAACACAGGUGCUGCAUGGCUGUCGUCAGCUCGUGUCGUGAGAUGUUGGGUUAAGUCCCGCAACGAGCGCAACCCUUGCCAUUAAUUGCCAUCAUUUAGUUGGGCACUUUAAUGGGACUGCCGGUGACAAACCGGAGGAAGGUGGGGAUGACGUCAAGUCCUCAUGGCCCUUAUGGGUAGGGCUUCACACGUCAUACAAUGGUCGGUACAGAGGGUUGCCAAGCCGCGAGGUGGAGCCAAUCCCAGAAAGCCGAUCGUAGUCCGGAUUGUUCUCUGCAACUCGAGAGCAUGAAGUCGGAAUCGCUAGUAAUCGCGGAUCAGCAUGUCGCGGUGAAUACGUUCCCGGGUCUU